Molecule: transfer RNA, 72 nt
Filed under: Bos taurus (domestic cattle)
Lineage: Eukaryota; Metazoa; Chordata; Mammalia; Artiodactyla; Bovidae
Also listed under: 5 other names
Rfam family: tRNA
About the family: Transfer RNA (tRNA) molecules are approximately 80 nucleotides in length. Their secondary structure includes four short double-helical elements and three loops (D, anti-codon, and T loops). Further hydrogen bonds mediate the characteristic L-shaped molecular structure. tRNAs have two regions of fundamental functional importance: the anti-codon, which is responsible for specific mRNA codon recognition, and the 3' end, to which the tRNAs corresponding amino acid is attached (by aminoacyl-tRNA synthetases). tRNAs cope with the degeneracy of the genetic code in two manners: having more than one tRNA (with a specific anti-codon) for a particular amino acid; and 'wobble' base-pairing, i.e. permitting non-standard base-pairing at the 3rd anti-codon position.
Source: Rfam by way of RNAcentral
UCCCUGGUGGUCCAGUGGUUGGGCAUCUGCCUGUUAAUGCAGGGGACACCAGUUUGAUUCUGGUCCAGGAAG